CAGGACGAACGCUGGCGGCGUGCUUAACACAUGCAAGUCGAACGAUGAAGCCCUUCGGGGUGGAUUAGUGGCGAACGGGUGAGUAACACGUGGGCAAUCUGCCCUUCACUCUGGGACAAGCCCUGGAAACGGGGUCUAAUACCGGAUAAUACCUGCCUGGGCAUCUGGGUGGGUUGAAAGCUCCGGCGGUGAAGGAUGAGCCCGCGGCCUAUCAGCUUGUUGGUGAGGUAGUGGCUCACCAAGGCGACGACGGGUAGCCGGCCUGAGAGGGCGACCGGCCACACUGGGACUGAGACACGGCCCAGACUCCUACGGGAGGCAGCAGUGGGGAAUAUUGCACAAUGGGCGAAAGCCUGAUGCAGCGACGCCGCGUGAGGGAUGACGGCCUUCGGGUUGUAAACCUCUUUCAGCAGGGAAGAAGCGAGAGUGACGGUACCUGCAGAAGAAGCGCCGGCUAACUACGUGCCAGCAGCCGCGGUAAUACGUAGGGCGCAAGCGUUGUCCGGAAUUAUUGGGCGUAAAGAGCUCGUAGGCGGCUUGUCACGUCGGGUGUGAAAGACCGGGGCUUAACCCCGGUUCUGCAUUCGAUACGGGCUAGCUAGAGUGUGGUAGGGGAGAUCGGAAUUCCUGGUGUAGCGGUGAAAUGCGCAGAUAUCAGGAGGAACACCGGUGGCGAAGGCGGAUCUCUGGGCCAUUACUGACGCUGAGGAGCGAAAGCGUGGGGAGCGAACAGGAUUAGAUACCCUGGUAGUCCACGCCGUAAACGGUGGGAA
RNAcentral lists this ribosomal RNA (773 nucleotides) under Streptomyces mirabilis. RNAcentral's name for it is "bacterial SSU rRNA". It matches the Rfam family "Bacterial small subunit ribosomal RNA", at positions 25 to 815 of the family's 1533-position model. The record is from RNAcentral. Lineage: Bacteria; Bacillati; Actinomycetota; Actinomycetes; Kitasatosporales; Streptomycetaceae.